UACGUAGGGUGCGAGCGUUGUCCGGAAUUACUGGGCGUAAAGCGCACGCAGGUGGCUGAGUCAGUCGAUUGUGAAAGCCCUGGGCUUAACCUGGGAAUUGCAGUCGAUACUACUCAGCUAGAGUAUGGGAGAGGGCAGUGGAAUUCCCGGUGUAGCGGUGAAAUGCGCAGAUAUCAGGAGGAACACCAAUUGCGAAGGCAGCUCGCUGGGACGUUACUGACGCUGAGACGCGAAAGCGUGGGGAGCAAACAGG
Molecule: ribosomal RNA, 253 nt
Filed under: uncultured bacterium
Lineage: Bacteria
Description: partial 16S ribosomal RNA
Rfam family: Bacterial small subunit ribosomal RNA
Source: RNAcentral